Oreochromis aureus is the source of this 1448-nucleotide long non-coding RNA. The record is from Ensembl. NCBI's taxonomy places the organism in Eukaryota, Metazoa, Chordata, Actinopteri, Cichliformes, Cichlidae.
CAAAGAUCUCAAAUUUGGACUCAUCAGACCAAAGCAGAGAUUUUCACUGGUGUAAUGGCCAUUCCUUCUUGUUUUUGGCCCAAACAAAUCUCUUCUGCUGGUUGCUUUUCCUGAGUGGUGAUUUCGUAGCAGCUAUUUGGCCAUAAAGGUCUGAUUCGUGCAGUUUCUCUAUCUGGGGUCUAAUCUGAGGUGCUUGCAAUUUCUGAGGCUGGUGACUCAGAAAUAUGUACCCUCAGCAGCAGAGGUGACUCUUGGUCUUCCUUUCCUGGGGAGGUUCUCAUGUAAGCCAGUUUCGUCAUAGCUCUUGAUAGUUUUACGGCUGCACUUGGGGACAGACUCAAAGUUUUAGCAGUUUUCCAGAUUGACUGACCUUCAGUUCUUAAAGCAAUGAUGGACUGUCAUUUCUCUUUACUUAGCUGAGUGGUUCAUGCCAUAAUAUGAAGUAGUCAAAUAGGGCUGUCAGCUGUGUACCAAGCUAACUUCUGCACAACACAACUGAUGGUCCCAACCCCAUUAAGAAGGCAAGAAAUUCCACAAAUGAACCCCGACGAGGCACAGCUGUGAGGUGAAAACCAUUUCAGGUGACUACAUCAUGAAGCUUACUGAGAGAAGGCCAAGGGUUUGCUACAUAUCUAAAUUAUGAAUCAUACACAUGAUGGAUAACUACACAUAAGACCAAUUAUUCAUGUAGGUAGAUAGAAAUUUGUCUGCAUUAUUUAUUGGUAGAGUUUGACAAGACAUCUGUUUAGAAGUCACAGCAGUGUGAUUCAGGUGACGAGGAGGAUGAUGAAGAAGAUGACAUUGAUGGACCGAGGGUGAAGAGAGCAGCUGAUGACGAUGAUGAUGACGAGGAUGAGGUUGAAAGCAAGAAGCAGAAGACAGAUCAGUAGUGUCUGCAGCGCCCACUCUGCACGGAGGACGACACUAUUGAAAGACAGCCAGCAAACCUUCUACACCUCAGUCCUCCUUUCGUAACAAAAAUGUGUUUAAAAAGAAAAUUUGUUUGUAUUUUUAUUUACAUUUUAUAUUUUUGUAAAUAUUGUAAGGAGUUUGGCCAUUUUGCAAAAGUGAUCUGGGUAUACAGUGGUGCUCUGAAGACUUUUAGAUCAACAUCAACCAUCCAUACUCUGUCUCAACCACCAGCCUGUCAUUCCAACAGCACACACACACACACGUACUACAACUACCUUUUUUCUGUUUUUCUAAGACGUAUAGGAUGCUAGAAGUUGUGUGUUGACCUGUAGUUGCAUGGGAGUGUUAAAAUAACUCGGCUCUUUUCCCAGUGCUGGGGAUAUAUUAGUGGUAGUUUCUAUGAGAUUCCAAAGUCGUAGUUUCUCUUGUCCAUGUGUCUCUAUCUGUGUGUCCGUCAUGGCCAGAUUAUAAUUUUUUUUAAAUGUCUGUGCAAUUUGGUUGAAUAAUAAAUUCAUUUGAUUUUGUUUUUAGAUUUG